Molecule: ribosomal RNA, 292 nt
Filed under: uncultured bacterium
Lineage: Bacteria
Description: partial 16S ribosomal RNA
Rfam family: Bacterial small subunit ribosomal RNA
Source: RNAcentral
GUGUCAGCAGCCGCGGUAAUACGUAGGGGGCGAGCGUUGUCCGGAGUUACUGGGCGUAAAGGGCGUGCAGGCGGUGCAGCAAGUUUGGAGUGACAGUUCCCGGCUUAACUGGGGAAGGCCUCUGAAAACUGCUGGACUUGAGGGCCAGAGAGGGACAUAGAAUUCCGGGUGGAGUGGUGAAAUGCGUAGAUAUCCGGAGGAAUACCAAAGGCGAAGGCAGUGUCCUGGCUGGCAUCUGACGCUGAGGCGCGAAAGCUAGGGGAGCGAACAGGAUUAGAUACCCUGGUAGUCC